GCGCUCGAGUUUCCGGUGUGUCUGGACACUGGCGUUUGUUUUCUGUUAUUCAUCAGAGCGUCAGUUCAGCGCGAAUUCAACACACACACUAUAAGAUGGACAUGUAAGUUUACAAAGCGCUGCCUUACGACGAGCUCCUCAGAUCAUGGCGGUCCCCAUGGAAAGUCAGCUGCAGAGUAUUUUUGAGGAUGUAGUGAAAACUGAGGUGAUAGAAGAGGCGUUUGCUGGCAUGUUCAUGGACAGUGCGGAGGAUGAGAGGAAUAAACUCCUGAGCUGUUUAGGAGCCUUCAGACAGUACUGGAUCAGCCUGCCCCAGGAGUCACAUGAUCAGUGUGUGCAGUGGAUUGUCCGCUUCAUUCAUGGUCAGCACAGCCCCAAACGCAUCGCCUUCCUCUACGACUGUUUGGCCAUGGCGGUGGAGACCAGCCUCCUGCCUCCCAGUCUGAUCCCAGUGAAGCUGAUGCAGGAGUGGAUGGAGCUGUUUUUCAGUGGUAAGCCGCUGUAUGAAGUGGCCAGUGUGCUGCCCACCUACUGACCCCACACCAGAACAGAUCAUUGAGCUGGAGAAGCUUCAAAUACUCAAUAAUCAAGACUACAACGAGUAUGUGGCCAUGAUUGGUGAGUGGAUUUUGGGAUGAAGAAGGCGAGAGUCGAGCCUCACCAGUGAAGAAUGAUAUUCUGGAUCAUGUGUUGAGUCGUCUACAGAGCAUGAUAGACCGUCCCAGUGCCAGCAGUCCUCGUCCUCUGUUUCCCCGUUUCACCAUCAGAGCGUGCAUGCUGGAAAACCCUCUCGGGAAAAACCUCCUGCCUCUCCAGGAUCAGCAACGGUCUUGGGUUCCAUGUGCUCUCAGCCAACGCUUUGAUCCAGGAUGCUCUAUCAGAAUAUCAGAGGGAAAAACAAGUUGCGAUCGAAAGCCAAAAAGCGUCACAGAAUAACCUGGAAAGAAAUGGUUCUCCGACAGAAGGAGUUGAGCAGCCUGAGAGAGAUGAAGAGAAGGAGACAUCCUCUCCUCCAGAGUCAGGACCGCAGAAGGCAUCCGGACUUCAGGAAAAAGAAGAUAAAGAAAAGUGGUCGUUGCGAGCGCAGUGUGGUGCAGCGGUAGAGAACGCUCUUAGGACGGGAAACGCUGUUCCUGAUCAACUUCUGGUCGACAUCAUAGUGGAUGCUAUCAGGAACAUCCCUGCUGAUAGUGGCUGGAUUCUUGACGGGUUCCCAGUGGACAUCAGUCAGGCUCAGAUGCUGGAGAAAGCUCUGAACGGGACAGAACCUGAUGAGACCGAGACAAAAACACAAAGCAGCUUAUCCACAGAUAAAAACACUCCUAAAGAUCCGAGUCCUCCCUCCCCUGCACUGGACGUAGUGGUGAUGUUAGACGUGUCAGAUGAGCAGGUUCUGCAGCGAGCCGUGAGCCAGGACGUAGACGGGGAGAGCAGAGGGCAGGAGAGAGAAAGCAGUGAUGGUCUAGACGAAAAAACAAGUAUGACAGAUAUGGACACACAAGAUCCAGCAUCCGUAUCUGAUGACAAAAGCCUGGGGACGAAACGGAUGCAGCACAGAAUUAGUGGGUUCCAUGACACAUGGCCAAAACUGGAGAAAUGGUUUGGUGAUCAGCAGAAUAUUCUUGUAAAAAUCACAGCAGAUGUAGAUGAGGAAACUCUCUUCAAAAACGUGGAGAAUGUUCUGAUGGACACUAUGGAUUCUGUUGAAAAAGAAGCAGCUCUGGUUCACUCCAGGAAAAUGUCUUCCUCACCCGAACACAGGCGUCCAGAAAGUGCCUGCUCUGGGAAGUCUUCACCAGUGACCCCAAAAUCUGCUGGAAGGGUCUAUGUGGAGGAACCCUUACCCAAGGAGAUUCCAGAGUAUCUUGUUCCGUACUGGGAGAACGUCUGUGUUUCAUAUGUGACUAACGUCAAAACAGUGAUGCAGAACCUCCGCGGUGAACGCGAGCUCAUCAUUCACCACCUCUACAACACCCGGGAGAACUUCAGGCAGUACCUACAGAAGCCAGAUCUGAAGCAGGAGUUUGUAAGCGCAUGGCAGCGCGAUUAUAACGGCGUUCCUGACAACAUCAGAGAGGAUGAAGAGACCAAAGGAGAGCUUCAUCAAAGACUGGAUGACUUGCGUGAGCGUCUGUGGGACAUCUGUGAUAAACGCAAGGAAGAGGCAGAGCAGGAGAGAGCAGGAGUCAUUGAUGACGGCUGGUUAGAUGAUCACACUGCUGUACUAAUCAACCAAUAUUCUGCAUUAAUGCAGAUAGAAGUGGGCCGCUUUCAAGACUCCCUGUGUCUGCUGAGAGAUUAUUAUUCAGCAAUGUGUAAAACUGCGUUUCCUGAAUCCACACGUGGCUUCACUCGCGUCCCAUUGCUUGACAUCACUGCAGAGGAGCAUGUUGAGCAAGAGGAGUCAAAAGUCGCUGGCCCUGCACUGUUAGAAAAACCUGUAAAGAGUGCUGAAGAAAAAGACUGUGAAAUGGAGGACAAGAAGAAAAUUAAAUCGUUUCCGCUGGUUUCCUGCAGAUCUCCCACUUCUGAGGAUCUCCACCAUCCCGAUGAGAAACUCCUGCAGGAGUUCUUCCAGAAUGCACUCACCGCAGUCAUUAGCAUGGUGUUGGCAGAGACGCAGCGAGAAGAGGAAGGUGAUGAAGAACAGAAGCCCAUAGAGACACCACAGACUUCAAACUCUGCUACGGACCGUAAGAAAGCAGGGAAAAAGAAAGGUGCUCCCACCCCUCCUCAGGUGCCCAGUCCUCUGCCCACAGUGGUGCAGAACCCUGAGGAGGUCAAGAGGAAGGCAGAGAGGAAAAGAAUCAAACUGGAGUUCACAUCCGCACUGAAACGUGAAGAACAUGCGGUGAAGCUGCGUUUGGAUCUGGUGAAGGCUCAUGCGCUGAGAAACGUGAGCAGUCUUCAGCUGAGAGCGGAGCAGGUCUACAGGAACAUGGAGGAGUGGCUGGGAGCUCGCUUUCUGUCUGAGAUCAACAGUAUCGACCAGCUGACAGAGUUUGUGCGGAAGCACAUUGAGAAUGCAGUUCAGAUCCAUCAUGAGCUCGUGCUGCAGAGCGCUGAUUUCUGCGUGGAUGGAGACACACGUGUGGUGGCGAGUCCAGCAUCCGUCCCGCGCCGAUCGCUGCUGGAACAGCCCAGAAACAGCACUCUCACAGUCCAACAGCUGCACGUCCUCUGUGCUCAGCUGAGCAAGAGCGCCCCGACUGGUCUGCUGUGCAGUAAUGAGUUGACUGAAAUUCUGCAUGAAUUAAGCUCUCCUCAUAUGGGUAGUGAUGUCCUGCCUGAGCCCUGGAUGCAUAUCACUCCCUCACAGGUAGAUGAGCUGGUGUGUGUAUUAGCUCCGGACUCUGAGAUGUUGGACUGGCGUCAGUUCCUGCUCAGCGCUGCUCUGCCGUGGCCGUUUCCCUCUCAGAUCGAGCUGUUAAAAACCCUCCAGCGCUUCAGAGCCGUCGACACUGCGGGAACUGGACUCAUCACACAAGAACAAUACACACAGGUUGAAUUGUGGUUUUCCAGUGAAAGAGAACUUCCUGUCCCGGAUGACCCAACUGAACCUCUGCCCUACGACAGACUAGCCAACCUUAAGAAGUUUUUCUUCUGUCUGUUUGCGAGCUCACACUCAUCUCCACUGAUGCUGGACUAUCUGAACAUGCUGCUGUAUUUCUGCUGUCAUCCUGAACCGGCUCAGGGCUUCACCAGAGCGCUGGGCCUCGUGAUCGGACACACACUGCACUAUAAACACACCGGCCCACUUACACAGUCUGUGCCGUAUUUGGAGGGCGCUGGAGUCGAGGCUGAUGAAGAGGAGGAGAGAGGGGAGGAGUCUGAUGAAGUGGGCGUGUCCGUUGAUGAUGUGCUCAGAGUUCUGAGUCGUGGAGAUGAUCACGUUUCUUCAUAUCUGAACCGAUUCCAGCCGAACCGCAGGAGCAGAGAUGAAUUCAGAGAGGAGCUGCUGAAGGUGUUUAAGGAGUUGGGUUUUAAGGGUGAGGAGAAGAUUUCUUUCUCCACACUUUCCCAGCAUCCCUUUAUGCAGGAUCUAAUAGAAGGAUCCUCACAGUACCUGCUUCCUGACAUUCACAGAAUUUUCCAGACCCAGCAAACUGAAGAUCCUCGAAGCUUCUCAACAUGAUCAACACUCAAUAACAACACACACAAGCAAGGUACAUGCUAAUGCUAAAUUCAUCAUGAAAGCAUGAAGAACAGUGAUCUGCUGAAAUUCCCCUUUAAUAAACUCUAAAUGUUUCUAAAUGUAUUUACUGUAGUGGAGAUACACAUUUGAUUGUAGCUGUGUAUUCUUGUCUCAUAUUACAGUGAAUAAUUUGAUGUAUUUGUGUGAUUCAGAGAUGAGUGAUGUGGAAGCUUGCCUUGAAAAAUAUUCAGAUAAAUCAAUGUAAAAUCAGCAUAAAACCUCAACAAAAUGUAAAGUAAAAACAUUAUCCAAAACAAUAGAUAUAAAGAAGAAUACAUGAGUGAAAGAUUUGUUAAAUGAAUAUGUUAAUGAAAGCAUAUGAAUACACAAGUAUGUAUGAAUAACAAUGUAAAGAAAAUACAAUACAGAAUGAACAAUAAAAAUAAAAACUGUAUCUUUAGUCUCUGCCGAAUGAAUAAUGUUCACUGCUCUGCUGUCUUUGCACAAAUCAGAUGCAUGACUUUACAUUUGUCAAAAAUAAUGGUGUAAUCUUAUUUUUUUUUUUUAAAUUGAAACUCUAUAAUGACAGUGAAAAAAACAUAUAUUUUAGGUCUCUCAAAAUGAAAGACUUUGUAGA
Pimephales promelas (fathead minnow) is the source of this 4772-nucleotide non-coding RNA. NCBI's taxonomy places the organism in Eukaryota, Metazoa, Chordata, Actinopteri, Cypriniformes, Leuciscidae. The record is from RefSeq and is a predicted model, not a curated record.